GCCCCAAGACAUCAAAGAAAUCCAACUUGCAAUUGAUCCGAUGCCAAGUGUGUCGAUGAAGGAAAGGAAGUGUAUAUACCUCUCAUAUCAGAAGAUCCCUGCAUAAAAUGCAUCUGCCGAAACAAGGUGGUGAUGUGUGAACGGAAGUUCUGUGAAAGUUCGGAAGGAUGUUAUAUGAUUAUAUACGAUAGUCAUCGUCUGCCCAAGCAAUGUUGUGAUCUAUGUAAAGGUAAGAAUCCC
Molecule: long non-coding RNA, 240 nt
Organism: Octopus bimaculoides (California two-spot octopus)
Lineage: Eukaryota; Metazoa; Mollusca; Cephalopoda; Octopoda; Octopodidae
Source: RefSeq, a predicted model, not a curated record